AGAAAGACUAUGAAGGGAAGAGUAAGCAAGCAGAAUAGGCCUAAAGAGAGCCGGAAAAGGUGAAAGCCGGCGCCGAAGACCUUGCUGAAGAUGGCCCCGGAGUUUGGUCGUCGAUAUGUAGACGACUGCGGUGAAGGACCGUUAUAAUCCUUCAGGUAUCGGAAUAGUGGCUGAAAGCCUGUCCAUUUACUUUAUUCCCGUACUUGGCAAAGGCCUUUAACCAGGCGAAUUUGGGUGGUACCGCGAGAAUGCCUCGCCCCUUAC
RNAcentral lists this non-coding RNA (264 nucleotides) under Tepidanaerobacter syntrophicus. RNAcentral's name for it is "T-box sequence". It matches the Rfam family "T-box leader". From Rfam's summary of the family: Uncharged tRNA acts as the effector for transcription antitermination of genes in the T-box leader family. The record is from RNAcentral. Lineage: Bacteria; Bacillati; Bacillota; Clostridia; Thermosediminibacterales; Tepidanaerobacteraceae.